RNAcentral lists this long non-coding RNA (624 nucleotides) under Gossypium barbadense (sea-island cotton). RNAcentral's name for it is "long non-coding RNA (GBAR_LNC001151)". Lineage: Eukaryota; Viridiplantae; Streptophyta; Magnoliopsida; Malvales; Malvaceae. The record is from RNAcentral.
AGGUUUUUCUUCAAGGGCUAUAUCCAGCUCUUGCUGACAUAAGACAUCCAGGAUCUCACACUGCCACAUACCAAAAUUAUUGGUACCGUCAAAUUUCUCUACUUCAAAUUUUGCAUUUGUCACAGUAGUCCUUGCUGAUGACGAUGCUGCUGCCAUUUUUCUCCUCAAUCCCAACUACUGUAUACGUGAACAGUACUGUAUACGUGAAUAGUGUCGUAUACGUGAAUAGUACUGUAUACGUGAAUAGUGUCGUAUACGUGAAUAGUACCGUAAACGGUCGUAUUCCCCAAGUACGAACCUGGCUCUGGUACCAAUUGUUGCGCGGAAGCGUGUGAAAGAGUAAAAUUAUUGUACUGAAAAAUCACACUAAGUUCAAUUCCUAGGAAAGAGAGGUGGAUCACGAGGAUCGCUUACAUACCAGAUCUUUCCUAGCCAGAAUAUCCCUCUAUCGUAAUUUAAUAGCACAAUAAAUCACUACAAGACACUUGCAAAAUAUGCAGAACAAAAAAUAAAGAACACUAGAAUUUUAACGAGGUUCAGCAAAUUUUGCCUACGUCCUCGGGCACUACCAAAUAUAUUUCACUCCAAAAAUACAAGUGAAAGUUUACAAAUAGGGAGAGAGAA